This is a non-coding RNA of Equus caballus (horse), 1135 nucleotides long. The record is from RefSeq and is a predicted model, not a curated record. NCBI's taxonomy places the organism in Eukaryota, Metazoa, Chordata, Mammalia, Perissodactyla, Equidae.
UAGCAGCUAAGUGCUGUGCUCGGGAUGGCGGGUGGUACCCGCUCGGAGGCCCUGCGGCCAGGAGAACUUGGUCAUCUCGGUCAUCUCAGCUAUCUCGGCUGCGGCCACCCCUAACGCCCCGGUGAUCUGGGCGACUCACUUCCUCUCUCAUCUGCACAACGGGGCAAAUAGACUGGACGACCUUUACUGGUCCUGCUUGGAUCGCCUUACACAACGCGCGCAGCUUUUCAAGCAUCGGACCAGCCAGGGGGCACCAGCACCAUUCCAGCUGUGGCCAGAAGGCUCCUCUCUCCCGAGGAGAUCCAAGCGCAACGCAUUCAGGCCCAGAGUAGCCCAGUGUUUCCGGUCCUCCCACGGCCAAGCCCGUCCCUUCCAGCCCAGGAAGGCUGGGGCGGGAGGAACAGCUGGGCUGCCUGUGUAAGUUAAUGGGAGCUGUAAUUUCUCCAGUGCCUCCAUCUAGAAAUGGGAGCGAUGUGCAUAAUUUAUGGGGGUCUGGGUCUGCGCGGCCGGGCUGGGCGCCCACUUGCUCACAGUUGGACGGAUGUGAGAGAAUGGAAGAGCGCUCGGAGGGGGGCUGCCCAGAGCUGCCGCCCUGGCCUGGCUCCUCAGCCGUGUUCUCUGGGACAUUGAACAUCGGGGGCUGGAGGAGAGGCCUAGAGUUAACGCUUCUCUCCACUCUGGUUUCCUGGGCAGCAGAGCGAAAGGAGAUCAAGCUGGUUUUACCGCGGCUUUCGUAGCUCUGAGUCACAGCGUGGCUGAGGAGGGGGCAUUGGAGCAGCCACGGCGUCCUCAUUUGCCUUCAAUCCUGAUGCCAACCUGGACAUUUAUGUCCCGACACCCCUCCCCCCCAACACACACUGGAAUAUCAGCUCCCUGAGGGUGAGGGACCUUGCCUGUUGUGUUGACUGCUGUUCAUGCAGCAUGCAGAAUAAGGCCUGGUCCGUAGUGAUGUACUCAGUGAAUAUUUGUUGAAUGACUGAGUGAGCUCAGGAUGUCAGCAGGAGUGAGGGAGACGGUGUGGUAGAGUUGAAAGAGACAGAUCUGAGUUUGAGCCUAAUUCCACCGCUGACUUGUUACGUGAACUUGAACAGUUUAAACCUCUUUUUAAAUUCUCUGUAGCUGUUUCUCUGUAAAA